This 23-nucleotide small nuclear RNA is filed under the name Arabidopsis thaliana (thale cress). RNAcentral describes it as "snRNA_00753". Lineage: Eukaryota; Viridiplantae; Streptophyta; Magnoliopsida; Brassicales; Brassicaceae. The record is from RNAcentral.
CGAAAGCGGUGGAAGUCAAUCGA